This 411-nucleotide ribosomal RNA is filed under the name uncultured bacterium. RNAcentral's name for it is "bacterial SSU rRNA". It matches the Rfam family "Bacterial small subunit ribosomal RNA", at positions 370 to 772 of the family's 1533-position model. The record is from RNAcentral.
AAUGGGCGAAAGCCUGACGCAGCAACGCCGUGUGAGGGAUGAAGGCUUUCGGGUCGUAAACCUCUGUCGGAAGGGAAGAACGGAUGGUGGUCUAAUAGGCCUCCAUUUUGACGGUACCUUUAAAGGAAGCACCGGCUAACUCCGUGCCAGCAGCCGCGGUAAUACGGAGGGUGCAAGCGUUAUUCGGAAUUACUGGGCGUAAAGCGCGCGUAGGCUGCUUUGUAAGUCAGUGGUGAAAUCCCACGGCUCAACCGUGGAACUGCCUUUGAAACUGCGAAGCUUGAAUCCUGGAGAGGGUGGCGGAAUUCCUGGUGUAGGAGUGAAAUCCGUAGAUAUCAGGAGGAACACCGGUGGCGAAGGCGGCCACCUGGACAGGUAUUGACGCUGAGGUGCGAAAGUGUGGGGAGCAAA